GACGAACGCUGGCGGCGUGCUUAACACAUGCAAGUCGAACGGAAAGACGCUGCUUGCAGGGUACUCGAGUGGCGAACGGGUGAGUAACACGUGGGUGAUCUGCCCUGCACUUCGGGUUAAGUCUGGGAAACUGGGCCUAAUACCGGAUAGGAGCCAUUUUGAGUGUGAUGGUUCGACAGUUUUUUCGGUGUAGGAUGAGCGGGCGGCCUAUCAGCUUGUUGGUGGGGUAAUGGCCUACCAAGGCGGCGACGGGUAGCCGGCCUGAGAGGGUGGACGGCGACAAGAGGACUAAGGGACGGACCAGUGUGCAACGGGAGGCAGUGGUGGAGAGUAUUGCACAAUGGGGGCACGUGUGAUGCGACGGUGUUCGGAGGGGAAAGACGGCCUACGGGGUAUAAACUCCUGUCGCUAGGGACGUAGCUGUUGUGACGGUACCUAGAUAAGAAGCACCGGCUAACUACGUG
RNAcentral lists this ribosomal RNA (464 nucleotides) under uncultured bacterium. Its description in RNAcentral is "partial 16S ribosomal RNA". It matches the Rfam family "Bacterial small subunit ribosomal RNA", at positions 28 to 507 of the family's 1533-position model. The record is from RNAcentral.